Molecule: ribosomal RNA, 517 nt
Filed under: uncultured bacterium
Lineage: Bacteria
Description: bacterial SSU rRNA
Rfam family: Bacterial small subunit ribosomal RNA
Source: RNAcentral
AACGAACGCUGGCGGCAGGCUUAACACAUGCAAGUCGAACGCCCGUAGCAAUACGGGAGUGGCGGACGGGUGAGUAACGCGUGGGAAUCUCCCCAAAGGUACGGAACAACUCAGGGAAACUUGAGCUAAUACCGUAUGUGCCCGAGAGGGCAAAGAUUCAUCGCCUUUGGAUGAGCCCGCGUUGGAUUAGCUAGUUGGUGGGGUAACGGCCUACCAAGGCGACGAUCCAUAGCUGAUCUGAGAGGAUGAUCAGCCACACUGGGACUGAGACACGGCCCAGACUCCUACGGGAGGCAGCAGUGGGGAAUCUUGGACAAUGGGCGAAAGCCUGAUCCAGCCAUGCCGCGUGAGUGAAGAAGGCCUUAGGGUUGUAAAGCUCUUUUACCCGGGAAGAUAAUGACGGUACCGGGAGAAUAAGCCCCGGCAAACUUCGUGCCAGCAGCCGCGGUAAUACGAAGGGGGCUAGCGUUGUUCGGAUUUACUGGGCGUAAAGCGCACGUAGGCGGAUUGUUAAGUC